This 253-nucleotide ribosomal RNA is filed under the name uncultured bacterium. Its description in RNAcentral is "partial 16S ribosomal RNA". It matches the Rfam family "Bacterial small subunit ribosomal RNA", at positions 524 to 776 of the family's 1533-position model. The record is from RNAcentral.
UACGUAGGGCGCAAGCGUUGUCCGGAAUUAUUGGGCGUAAAGAGCUCGUAGGCGGCUUGUCACGUCGGGUGUGAAAGCCCGGGGCUUAACCCCGGGUCUGCAUUCGAUACGGGCAGGCUAGAGUGUGGUAGGGGAGAUCGGAAUUCCUGGUGUAGCGGUGAAAUGCGCAGAUAUCGGGAGGAACACCGGUGGCGAAGGCGGCGAUCUGGGUCGAUACUGACGCUGAGGUGCGAAAGCGUGGGGAGCAAACAGG